UGGUUCAAUGGCAGAAUUCCUGCCUUUCAUGCAGGCGAUCUUGGGUCGAUUCCCAG
This 56-nucleotide transfer RNA is filed under the name Loxodonta africana (African savanna elephant). It matches the Rfam family "tRNA", at positions 8 to 63 of the family's 71-position model. Rfam says of the family: Transfer RNA (tRNA) molecules are approximately 80 nucleotides in length. Their secondary structure includes four short double-helical elements and three loops (D, anti-codon, and T loops). Further hydrogen bonds mediate the characteristic L-shaped molecular structure. tRNAs have two regions of fundamental functional importance: the anti-codon, which is responsible for specific mRNA codon recognition, and the 3' end, to which the tRNAs corresponding amino acid is attached (by aminoacyl-tRNA synthetases). tRNAs cope with the degeneracy of the genetic code in two manners: having more than one tRNA (with a specific anti-codon) for a particular amino acid; and 'wobble' base-pairing, i.e. permitting non-standard base-pairing at the 3rd anti-codon position. Lineage: Eukaryota; Metazoa; Chordata; Mammalia; Proboscidea; Elephantidae. The record is from Rfam by way of RNAcentral.